Molecule: long non-coding RNA, 1536 nt
Organism: Cervus elaphus (red deer)
Lineage: Eukaryota; Metazoa; Chordata; Mammalia; Artiodactyla; Cervidae
Exons: 3
Source: RefSeq, a predicted model, not a curated record
GGACAAGAGCACCGGGGCUCUGUGGAUGCGCGCCGGGUGCCGAACCUGGGGUCCACCGACCCAAAGCCCGCGGACUGCGCGGGGCAUCCGGGCCGGCGGGGAGGGAGGCGGGCCGCGCGGGAGCGCGCUCGGCACAGAGUGUUCCCGAACACCGCGGGAGCGCCUGCCAAGUUCGCAGCGGGCCUGACGCGGAAACGUAGAUAAUGAGGCCCAAGGGCGGGCCCAGGCGCCCUGCGGGCCCCCAGGCUCUGAACUGCCGGAGGAGGGGAGACGCGCCGUACCUCGUGCCGGGAAGGCCUGGAGAGGGAAUCCCCGAGCGACCCGCUGGCCUACCUGCGGGAACCUCUUAGAGUAUUGCGUUGGUUUCUACCAAACAUCUUCACCAUUUUCAAAUGAAGGUACGGUUCCUGCAACCCCACGAGGGAAAGUACCAGGAACUGACAAGGGCGCCCUCUGUAGUAACCACUGGAAUCCCAGCUUUGAGAAACUCUGAUGUCUUUGACAGAAGAGUAACCAGAGAAAGAAAAAGAAGAAAGAAAUGGAGCACAAUCGAAUGCUCAAACUAUGAACUAUCUGCGUUCAUACUUCGCAACGGGUGUCAGGAGUUCAUGCAUUUCCCUCCACUUAUAAAACUCGUCCAAUCUGUGAGUUUUGGGGGGGUGCUCUGGGCAGCUGGGUUCCCAGGUUAAGAACUGAAAAUCUAGGCAAUUUGAAUACUCCAGAGACCUUACUUUGUCAACAAGAACUGCAUGAACUGUCCGGAUGACUCUCCAACAACCUCGCUUUUACGGCUCUGGCCCGGCCUCCCUUGCAGCCACACUGGCCCUUUGGCUGCUUCCUGACCCCUCUGAUUACCAUGGUAUCUCAGUGCCUUUGCAUUUGUUGUGGCUUCUGCCUGGAAUGGUCCCGCCGCCCGCGGACUGCCACAGCGCUCCGCUCUAACUCGUUCAGAACUGGCUGCCGGCCCCAGAGUACACCAUUCAACUUGAGCUGCCUGACAUUCCGUUGGUCUUCCUGCACUUUCAAGGCUGAUUUGCCCCACACAAACCUCUUUGGAAAUAUGAUUACAUGUGAAAUUAGUGAUCCAGGACUACUUCAAUAGCAACAAAGUAAAAUUGCAGUGUUGAUGUAGUUAAAAUGUUACCGAGCAUCAAUAGAGAGGAGACCUAAAGAAGGAGAAGACAGCAGUGGUACUCAGCUGCUGAGACCUCUAAUUCCAGAUUGUUCCUAGAUGGGUGAAAAAACCCUUCCCAGUCUGGAGGAAGGAACUGCAAAAUCUUACUACCCAGGCUGGGAGGAAUUUGUGUGCGCGCUUUGCAAUUCACCACACCAUCAUUUUCCCAUUCAUCUUUGGGGCCAUCUUUUUUUGUUUGUUUGUUUGUUUAUUAAAUGUUGUUUUCAGGGGUCUCAAAAUUCUGUGCCUAAGUUUUGGUCAAGUUGUUUCCAUUACAAAGUGUUUAUUUUAAAUGCUAAUAAUUUAAAAUUUCCCCCCUCCCCGGCUCAGUGGUAAAGAAUCUGCCUGCCAGUGCAGGAGAC